CGGGUGUUCACGUUGACUUCACGUGCCCCCAAUCAGAGGCCCAGCGACCUCGUCAACAUCGGAAUCGGAAUCGGAAUCUACGUCGAUGUCGGCAUACAAAAAACGGGUCUAUCUACAGCGGCGGCGCUUGCUCUGCGCUCUCCCCUGCCUGGCCCCACAGUGGAGGUGCUGCUUAUUCUAGAUUUAUUUCUGUGUGUGCCAUAUAUACACUCGUAUUUUCCACUUAUUGAUGAUGUUGUUUGUUGAUUCCCAUUGUGCUUGAUGACGAUGAUGAUGAAGAUGAACUGAGCCCCGAUAUGCCCGAGGCAACUGUCCCAUUAACGCCCAUUCACCUGAACCGGUUCAGGGACAGGGAAACCUUCUUCCAUCCUAUACCAUACACAUCCCAUCCCGUUGUGCCACGGACAACAACUUUCAAGUUCAGAUGGAACAUUUGGCAAGGGAAGGAACUGGGCCAAGGUCGGCCCCCUCGAGCGGCCAGAACGAGAAACGAGAGCGCUCAAAACAAAAACCAUUCGACUGUGGAUGGGGGAAAACCUUCACAUCAUCGUAAAUUUCCAUUGGGGGAACACCGCAAUCCCCAAUUGAAGGCCGCCCUGGCCCUUUGGUCUCAUUGUUUACAGCACGCCUCGGAUUCUGUUUACCUCUCUGCCUUCUACUAAAGAUUUGGAUACAUAUGUCCCGCGCUCUAUUCCGGGUUUUCGAUGGCGUUACGUUUUCUAUGGAAACGCGUUCUCCGGCACGUAGGCAGAGAGCAGAACGCAUCGCAUACGGUAUCGCAUUAGAACCACAUGAUGGAACCUGAAAAGAAUCUUAGGUAUACACUCCAAGAGAGGUUCUUCAGACCUGGAUAUCUAAUUAGAUCGGCGAAACCAUCAGCUAUCGUUUAAAGGAAUAAAUUCUUCAAUAGAUAAUGGUCACAUUCUUUAAGAAAUUAUGCCAGAAUUACGUUUACUGAUGAAAUAUUCUUAGAGCAGCGGUUAACAGAAUAGCAAUAGGCGAUUCCUAAAGAAGGUUUCGAUUUAUUCUAUGAAUCUGCCACCUGGGAUCCGUAAACAUUCAACAAAAAAGAAGCCGAAGAUGACAAUUGUAUUGGGGAGGGGCACGAAGAAGAAAAGGUAAGGUCUUCGGCUUUCUUGAUGGAGUUGCUUGGUCACGAGUCACAUGACGUCAUGGAGACUUUUGAGGAUAGCGCGUGUGCUUAGAGGGAGAUCAGAGACAAGUUUUUUUUCUGGGUUUUACCCAGUCCCCUUCCCAUUCGGGCGAUGGCCAAGAAAAACAUCAGGAAAAUGUUUGCCAAAAGUGAAUUGCAAAAUCUGGCAAGGGAGAAAAACUUGGGGAUAUGGGAAGUGGAAAAUGGGCCUCGUCUGUUGACGAUUUUCACGUUGUUGUCGUGCCGAAUUUUAGAUACUUUACUCAUGUUUUAUGUACGGCUCACUCGCUGGCUGCAUGAUUCGACUGUUGGACUGUACGACCGGGCGUCUGACGUCAGGCGGCUCCACCUGUGAUUGACGCUCGAGCAACGCCUCCUCCGAAUGUCCGGCGAUUGAGAAAAGAGACACAUGGCCAUGGCCGGGCUAGUGAUUGUGCUUUUGCUUGAAAUUCCUCGUUAAUAAUCCAUAUCGUGGCAGAGAGAGAGAGGCCUUGAACCCGGAGAGAGUACAGUGCCGGAACGCCAACGUCAUUGUCGGCCGACGAAGCUUCUUACGUUUGACCUUUGACGCGCAACAGGAGCAAAAGAGUAGUCUGUGUGACGUCACCAGACGCUACGUAACGCUACUGCGUCAAUGCGCAAGUUCUUUCUCUCCCUCCAAAAAGGGCUCUCUCGCCCACUAUCGUUUCUCUUUCUAAGGUCGGCCUGCCUUUCCGCUGGGCGUGGGGUAUGCGGCGGCCUACGUGCAACUGAGAAUGUGCGUGGGCACGUGUUCUCCGAGUCCGGAUUUGGAUUCGGAUCGGGAUAGGUGGGUGGGCGUAUCUGUGUGUGCGUAGGCGUGGGCGGCCUCCACUCCAGAUGCAUGUCAAGGAAGCUGAACUUGAACCUGGCCCCCGGGGACCGAGUGUCCGGCAGAGUUUUUCUGUCUAAAUUUAGAUACUUUUGUAUGAACAACCCACCUCUUGACGACGAUUAAAUUACAGAGAUUUCCCUAAUGGCAUGCGAAGGGGGUAGGUAAGGCUAAGGCGGCCUCCAACUGCGACGCAGUUAUUUCAUUCCAAAUGAGCGAUGCAGUGCACUUCCAAGGGGACGAGCGGGUGUAACGGUACAUCGUCCCAUUUACACGCCCACAUUCGAGAGAGUGGAGGCCAUCAUGCCAUGAGACUGCGCUUCAGUUCCGCGCAAAUUUACACACGAAUUCCAUUUCCAAUAACAAAAACCAAAAAAAACGCAAGCACUACAAACACCCACACACACACGCACACACUUCCAUGAUAAAAGCACGCCACAGACAGCUAGCCUCUCUUUCUCGCUCUCUCCGUCCCUCUCAUUCCAUCACAGCGAACGAACGCCUACCAAAGUAUCAACAAAUGUUCACGUGAACACCAUGAGGUCAACGCGUGAUACAGUCCCAGACACUGACGCACACACACACAGAGCCACAGACCCAGAGGCAAACAUGCUCAGCCAGUAAGAAGGUUAUAUUCGCAAAGGGUCGACUAGUUGAUACCUUCUCCAGCGAUUCUUCAAUAAUAG
This is a long non-coding RNA of Drosophila persimilis, 2689 nucleotides long. RefSeq lists it as uncharacterized. The transcript has 3 exons. The record is from RefSeq and is a predicted model, not a curated record. Lineage: Eukaryota; Metazoa; Arthropoda; Insecta; Diptera; Drosophilidae.